GUGAUGAUUAGCUCUAAAUUUUGUUGAAUGACACACCUCUUCAUAAUUUUUACCAGUCAUAUCUAUGGGCAAGGUUUUGUUCACUAAUCUAUUGCACCAUUCUAAUUACAACUAGAAUCAGUAAAAAACUACUCUGAACCCCCCCCCAUGCAAACACAUUGCACACACAAAUGCACACACACGAGAAUGGAAAACACAAAAGUGAACAGAUAGGAGAUAAUGGGGCUAUUAAAAUCACUAGAUGGUAAGAAGGCGAUGGGUCCAGAUGAAAUACCAAGUCAAGUACUAAAAGAGUGCAGUGAGCAGUUAAUAGAACCAAUUCAGGACAUUGCAAGUUGUUCAGUCAAGACUGGGGAAGUCCCAGUACAAUGGAAAAGGGCACAUGUGGUCCCAUUUUAUAAGAGUGGAAAUAGAGAAGAGCCUCUGAACUACAGACCAGUUCCCCUAACUGGUGUCAUGUGCAAGCUGUGUGAGAAGGUAAUUAAAAGACAGUGGGUAGACCAUCUAGAAAGAGAGAAGAUAAUAAAUAAGUCAAUUUGGAUUCAGACAAGGUAAAUCUUGUGUCACAAAUUUAAUAUGUUUUUACUCAAGAGUAAUAGAUAUAGUGCAGGAGAGAGAAGUUAUGGGUGAGAAUGGAAAGAUGUUGAAAGACGGGGAAGCUGUGAAGGAGAGAUGGAGAGAAUAUUUCAAAAACUUAAUGAAUUCUGAGGAUGGAUGUCCAGCAGCUGUAACAGCAGCAGUUUUGAGUAGAGGUAGAGGAGGAGUAUAUAAAGAAGGAAGUAUAACAUAUGAAGAAGUAAAUCAGGCAAUAAAAAGAUUAAAAAAUGGAAAGGCAGCAGGAAUGGAUGGAAUCACAGCAGAAAUGUUGAAGUGUGGAGGAGAUGUAGUUGUUAAAUGGAUGGUCAAGAUAUGUGAAGUAGCAUGGGGGGGGGGGUGCCAGCAGACUAAAAAAAAACCCCAUCAUUGUCCCAGUUUACAAGGGGAAGGGCAGGAGAGGGGAAUGUGGGAGCUAUAGAGGUAUAAGUCUCCUGAGUAUACCCGGAAAGGUAUAUGGAAGUUAUAACAGAGAGGGUGCAAAGACUUACAGAAGAGAAAGUCACUGAAGAACAAGGAGGCUUCAGGAAGGGAAGGGGAUGUGUGGAUCAGAUAUUUGCCUUCAGGAUGGUAGUAGAAAAAAUAAUAGCAAAAGGAAAGCAACUAUACGCUGCCUUCAUGGAUUUGGAAAAAGCUUGACAGAGUCGAUUGGAUUGCAUUGUGGGAUGUUUUAAAGAUUUAUGGUGUGGGAGGAAAACUGCUUAGUGCAAUAAAGUCUUUCUAUGAGGAUGCAUCUGCAUGUGUCAAAAUUACUGGAGAAACAAGUGAACAUUUUGAGAUAAAAGUGGGCUUAAGACAAGGGUGCGUCAUGUCACCAUGGUUGUUCAAUAUUUAUAUGGAUGGUGUUAUGAGAGAAAUGAAGGGCAAAGUUGGGGAAGUUGGAGUAAAAAUGUAUGCUGAGGGAUGGAAGUGGGUGCUGAAAUCAAUCUUAUUUGCUGAUGACACAGUGCUCAUUGCAGAAAAUGAAAGUGACUUACAAAAUUUGGUCAGUGUUUUUGAUAGUAUAUGUAAAAAGGAGAAAGUUGAAAGUAAAUGUCAACAAAAGUAAAGUGAUGGUUUGUGAGCGGAGUAGAAGUGAGGUUGUGGAUUUUGUAUGCCCAUAUAGAGUGGGAAUUGAAGGUGAAAAGGAAUGCAAAAAUAAUUUUGAAUGGUGAAGAAAUGGAGGAGGUCAAUGAGUUUAAGUACCUUGGAUCAGUUAUGUGUAAGCAUGGUGGUAUGGAGGGAGAGACAAGAAGAAGGGCAUUGCAAGGAAGAAGGGUGGUAGGGUCUUUGGGACAUAUCAUGAAUGGCAGAAGUGUGAGCAUGGAGGUAAAGAGGGAUUUGAGAAAUACAAUAAUAGUACCAACCCUCACAUAUGCAAGUGAAACGUGGGCCUGGAAUGAAAGUCAGAGGUCUAGAGUGCAGGCAAUGGAAAUGAGUUAUUUGAGGAGUGCUUGUGGUGUGAGUAGAAUGGAUGGAAUGAGUAAUGAAAGUGUGUACGAGCGUUUUGGAAUGUGUCACAGGGGUGAAGGGAAGAAGUGUGGAGUGGA
Molecule: long non-coding RNA, 2123 nt
Organism: Eriocheir sinensis (Chinese mitten crab)
Lineage: Eukaryota; Metazoa; Arthropoda; Malacostraca; Decapoda; Varunidae
Exons: 2
Source: RefSeq, a predicted model, not a curated record